Molecule: ribosomal RNA, 419 nt
Filed under: uncultured bacterium
Lineage: Bacteria
Description: bacterial SSU rRNA
Rfam family: Bacterial small subunit ribosomal RNA
Source: RNAcentral
UUUGGACAAUGGGGGCAACCCUGAUCCAGCCAUCCCGCGUGUGCGAUGAAGGCCUUCGGGUUGUAAAGCACUUUUGGCAGGGAAGAAAUAGGUCUGGCUAAUAUCUGGACUGAAUGACGGUACCUGCAGAAUAAGCACCGGCUAACUACGUGCCAGCAGCCGCGGUAAUACGUAGGGUGCAAGCGUUAAUCGGAAUUACUGGGCGUAAAGCGUGCGCAGGCGGUUCGGAAAGAAGGAUGUGAAAUCCCAGGGCUUAACCUUGGAAUGGCAUUCUUAACUACCGGGCUAGAGUAUGUCAGAGGGGGGUAGAAUUCCACGUGUAGCAGUGAAAUGCGUAGAGAUGUGGAGGAAUACCGAUGGCGAAGGCAGCCCCCUGGGAUAAUACUGACGCUCAUGCACGAAAGCGUGGGGAGCAAACA